Molecule: ribosomal RNA, 367 nt
Filed under: Enterobacter cloacae
Lineage: Bacteria; Pseudomonadati; Pseudomonadota; Gammaproteobacteria; Enterobacterales; Enterobacteriaceae
Description: partial 16S ribosomal RNA
Source: RNAcentral
CYUACGGGAGGCASCAGUGGGGAAUAUUGCMCAAUGGGCGCAAGCCUGAUGCAGCCAUGCCGCGUGUAUGAAGAAGSCCUUCGGGUUGUAAAGUACUUUCAGCGGGGAGGAAGGUGUUGUGGUUAAUAACCACASCAAUUGMCGUUMCCCGCAGAAGAAGCACCGGCUAACUCCGUGCCAGCAGCCGCGGUAAUACGGAGGGUSCAAGCGUUAAUCGGAAUUACUGGGCGUAAAGCGCACGCAGGCGGUCUGUCAAGUCGGAUGUGAAAUCCCCGGGCUCAACCUGGGAACUGCAUUCGAAACUGGCAGGCUGGAGUCUUGUAGAGGGGGGUAGAAUUCCAGGUGUAGCGGUGAAAUGCGUAGAGAU